RNAcentral lists this ribosomal RNA (254 nucleotides) under uncultured bacterium. Its description in RNAcentral is "partial 16S ribosomal RNA". It matches the Rfam family "Bacterial small subunit ribosomal RNA", at positions 524 to 776 of the family's 1533-position model. The record is from RNAcentral.
UACGUAGGGUGCGAGCGUUGUCCGGAAUUAUUGGGCGUAAAGGGCUCGUAGGCGGUUUGUCGCGUCGGGAGUGAAAACUCAGGGCUUAACCCUGAGCCUGCUUCCGAUACGGGCAGACUAGAGGUAUGCAGGGGAGAAUGGAAUUCCUGGUGUAGCGGUGAAAUGCGCAGAUAUCAGGAGGAACACCGGUGGCGAAGGCGGUUCUCUGGGCAUUACCUGACGCUGAGGAGCGAAAGUGUGGGGAGGCGAACAGG